Molecule: ribosomal RNA, 1179 nt
Filed under: Vibrio parahaemolyticus
Lineage: Bacteria; Pseudomonadati; Pseudomonadota; Gammaproteobacteria; Vibrionales; Vibrionaceae
Description: bacterial LSU rRNA
Rfam family: Bacterial large subunit ribosomal RNA
Source: RNAcentral
GAGAGUCGCAGAUACCAGGUGGCUGCAACUGUUUAUUAAAAACACAGCACUGUGCAAAAUCGUAAGAUGACGUAUACGGUGUGACGCCUGCCCGGUGCCGGAAGGUUAAUUGAUGGGGUUAGACUUCGGUCGAAGCUCUUGAUCGAAGCCCCGGUAAACGGCGGCCGUAACUAUAACGGUCCUAAGGUAGCGAAAUUCCUUGUCGGGUAAGUUCCGACCUGCACGAAUGGCGUAAUGAUGGCCACGCUGUCUCCACCCGAGACUCAGUGAAAUUGAAAUCGCUGUGAAGAUGCAGUGUACCCGCGGCUAGACGGAAAGACCCCGUGAACCUUUACUACAGCUUGGCACUGAACAUUGACCCUACAUGUGUAGGAUAGGUGGGAGGCUUUGAAGCACGUACGCCAGUAUGUGUGGAGCCGUCCUUGAAAUACCACCCUUGUAGUGUUGAUGUUCUAACGUCGACCCCUAAUCGGGGUUGCGGACAGUGCCUGGUGGGUAGUUUGACUGGGGCGGUCUCCUCCCAAAGAGUAACGGAGGAGCACGAAGGUGGGCUAAUCACGGUUGGACAUCGUGAGGUUAGUGCAAUGGCAUAAGCCCGCUUGACUGCGAGAAUGACAAUUCGAGCAGGUGCGAAAGCAGGUCAUAGUGAUCCGGUGGUUCUGAAUGGAAGGGCCAUCGCUCAACGGAUAAAAGGUACUCCGGGGAUAACAGGCUGAUACCGCCCAAGAGUUCAUAUCGACGGCGGUGUUUGGCACCUCGAUGUCGGCUCAUCACAUCCUGGGGCUGAAGUCGGUCCCAAGGGUAUGGCUGUUCGCCAUUUAAAGUGGUACGCGAGCUGGGUUUAGAACGUCGUGAGACAGUUCGGUCCCUAUCUGCCGUGGGCGUUGGAAGAUUGAAGGGGGCUGCUCCUAGUACGAGAGGACCGGAGUGGACGAACCUCUGGUGUUCGGGUUGUGUCGCCAGACGCAUUGCCCGGUAGCUAAGUUCGGAAUCGAUAACCGCUGAAAGCAUCUAAGCGGGAAGCGAGCCCUGAGAUGAGUCUUCCCUGAUACUUUAAGUAUCCUAAAGGGUUGUCGGAGACUACGACGUUGAUAGGUCAGGUGUGUAAGUGCUGUGAGGCAUUGAGCUAACUGAUACUAAUUGCCCGUGAGGCUUAACCAUACAACACCCAAGGGGUUU